AGUGAACGCUGGCGGUAGGCCUAACACAUGCAAGUCGAACGGCAGCACAGUAAGAGCUUGCUCUUACGGGUGGCGAGUGGCGGACGGGUGAGGAAUACAUCGGACUCUACUUUUUCGUGGGGGAUAACGUAGGGAAACUUACGCUAAUACCGCAUACGACCUACGGGUGAAAGCAGGGGAUCUUCGGACCUUGCGCGAUUGCAUGAGCCGAUGUCGGAUUAGCUAGUUGGCGGGGUAAAGGCCCACCAAGGCGACGAUCCGUAGCUGGUCUGAGAGGAUGAUCAGCCACACUGGAACUGAGACACGGUCCAGACUCCUACGGGAGGCAGCAGUGGGGAAUAUUGGACAAUGGGCGCAAGCCUGAUCCAGCCAUACCACGUGGGUGAAGAAGGCCUUCGGGUUGUAAAGCCCUUUUGUUGGGAAAGAAAAGCAGCAGAUUAAUACCCCGCUGUUCUGACGGUACCCAAAGAAUAAGCACCGGCUAACUUCGUG
RNAcentral lists this ribosomal RNA (492 nucleotides) under uncultured bacterium. RNAcentral describes it as "partial 16S ribosomal RNA". It matches the Rfam family "Bacterial small subunit ribosomal RNA", at positions 29 to 507 of the family's 1533-position model. The record is from RNAcentral.